RNAcentral lists this long non-coding RNA (391 nucleotides) under Nicotiana benthamiana. RNAcentral's name for it is "long non-coding RNA (NBEN_LNC010725)". Lineage: Eukaryota; Viridiplantae; Streptophyta; Magnoliopsida; Solanales; Solanaceae. The record is from RNAcentral.
GUUAUAAGAGUAAGGAGAGGCAUAAAAUACAUAAAAAUAGGUACUAAACUUCAGGCAGAUAUAAAUCUGAAACAAAAUCACUAUUCCAUUGCCUUUUGGAGUGAUUUCGAGCUUCAAAAACCUCAAACCAAAGGUUCAGCUUGUUUAAGGAUAGAAAUGGUUUAAGUUUCCUGAUGAUCCAUGGUUCAAGAAUCCCUUAAGGUUUAUCUCAAGUUAAAUUUGGGUCAUUAAUGUUGAUUUUUGUUUGUUCACUGAUUCUGCUACCUGAAAACAACUCCUGGGCUGCUUGACUUCGUUUUCUGGGUAUAAAAAUCGAUCUGAUUGCUGCUGUGUGCUAUUGACUAACUAGCUGACUCCAACUUUACUUCUUCUGUGUCAAUUUCCAGUACAC